Molecule: long non-coding RNA, 301 nt
Organism: Temnothorax curvispinosus
Lineage: Eukaryota; Metazoa; Arthropoda; Insecta; Hymenoptera; Formicidae
Exons: 2
Source: RefSeq, a predicted model, not a curated record
AAGACAAAAUUUUCUUAAAAGGAACUCUCUUUCUAUCGCUCACAUACUCAAGAAUUCUCGUCAUACCUGCUGUGUUUGUCAAUACUUUUUAAACAACAAUAGACAAAUAAUUUUUAUAUGUUUAAAGAAGAAGAAGAAAAACAAAGAAAACGUCAUUGACGCCCAACAUCGCCCAAUUCAUCAAGUUCUUCACAAAGUAGCGAUGAUUCAAAUUCCAGUGAAUCAUUAUCGGAUAGUGAUUAAGUUUAGUGUUACCAUAUUACCAAUGUUAAAAUGAGUUAACCUUGUUAACGUUACCAUA